Molecule: long non-coding RNA, 2178 nt
Organism: Oncorhynchus tshawytscha (Chinook salmon)
Lineage: Eukaryota; Metazoa; Chordata; Actinopteri; Salmoniformes; Salmonidae
Source: Ensembl
UGGAUCUCCAUGCUAUUGAAACCACAAGCAGCCAUGCUUUGCAGUUCCCAUCCCAUCCAUCUCGAACACAGCGAAACAAAACGGAUGCCUUUUGACAGUUAGAGCGUGUAAAUCGGCACCGAGGGGGGUAUAGUUUUUACUUAAUAAAAAAAAAAAUCCUCGAUAAUUUCAUUUUAAAAGACCGUCGCAAAUAUUAAUUAUUUCAAUGAUUUCUUUGUUCAUCGCGUUAAAUGGGUGCUAUUCCCCCUUAUCACCAGAUGGCGCAACACAAUUGAUUCUGCCCCUCCCCCUUAUACAUUUGGCGAAAACCGAUGAAGACUAAUGCCCCACUUAAAAAAAGUAAUGGUGCAACUGCUUCUGCUACUCAACGCAUAUAAUUUGAAGCGCUUGUCUAGAAUGAGUAGAGGCUGUCUGUUUGGGCAAAGUGGAGGCUAUUGCCUAUGUUUGCAAGGGGCUAAGGAGCUGAUGGCGAUGUCAAGGAGGAGCCUUCAAGGAGAUCUGCACGGUUGUCAUCGAAACCAGUACCUUCAAAACCAUCACCAAAUCCAAAAAAGCCAGCUAAGAAAGAAAAAGAAGUAAAUAACAAGAAGAAGGCGAAGGCAGCAGCGGUCGGGGAGCCUAAAGAGGAGACCCAGACUGAAAAUGGCGAGAUCAAGACAGAUGAAGUAGAGACUCCAGAUGAGAAGACUGAGUAGCACUACUCCCGUCCAUCCAAUCCCCUCCCUUGUAUGGCCCCCAAGUCUCAUAUGUUAUCCCUAAAACAUCCAUUACCUUAACAGAGGAAUAUUUUUAUCAACAAUUUUGUAAUUGGUACAGGGUUUUAGCUCAAAACACAGCUAAAUAUGGAGGAUUGUUCUGUUGUGCAGUGGUCAUAAAGUGUUUUUAAGCAAACAUAAUUACGGUUUUGUUUAUUUAUUAGUUUUGGUACCUUGUUGGGACUUUAAAAAAUAAUGCUGGAUGGCAGACUAAUUGCAGGUGGUGUAGUGUCACAUUGUAGGUUCGCCAACUCAGAACAUUUCACUUUUGUAGGUGGUUGUAUUUUUAUUCUUUAUGUACAGUGGUUUUUCUUUGGGAGGUGUUUACUUAUUUUCAAUUUGAUUGUCUGUAAGCAAUUUUGGAAACAUUUGAAACAUUCCAGGCUUAAAGGACAAUUUCACAAUUUUUCAACUUCAUAUUCAUAAUCUCGAGGACCACCGCAACAACAUGUGAAAAUUGCUAGUUUGUUUUGUUGUUAAAAAAUAGGAAUAUUUUCAAUGACCCCAUCAGUGUGCAUGGUGUGAUUUUAACAAAUGAGUUACCAUCAUUAGCUACUAAUUGGACACUUCCUCAGUUUUUUUAUCACAAAACAUAGAAACCUCACAUUUUCACAUAUGUUGAUGUUGUGCUGGAGAUUAAGCAGAACAUUUUUUAAAUUUCACUAAUGUGGGCAUACCUGCUUUUUAAAUAAUCUUGCUCUGAAUUAUUUUGACACAAAUGAUUUAAACAGAGGAAGAGGCUUGUUGGAAGUUGAUUAUACUUUUUGAAACAAAUGUUGGGAUUUUAACACUGAAAAUUAAUCUAUUGAAAUAUGCAGCUGUGUUCCCACUGAAGUUCUGGAUAUUUAAUUGGAAUUUAAUAAAAUAGUAAUUUCUCAUGAGGUUGCGCAAGGUCUCAUGACUUUACGUGUCAUUAUUACUGUAUCAUUACCAUAUCUAAACUCAAUAGUAGACCAUCUAGCCAACCAGUUGUUCUGAUUGUUAUUGUGGUAUGUAUAUUAUUGUAAUACUGAUAUAUAGUUAACAUUCUUAUAACAGAUUCUGGUCAAAGGUAGCAUUUUACAACCUGCUGGAUUUGGCGACAUGUCGCAGUCACUAUUUGCUGACCAAAAUAAAAAAUGAGACUGAAAGGACCCUAGGUAUCGUGCCAGCACAAAUAACCACAAAGACAUGAUCUGUCUUGCAAAAGCAUGACACUUUUCAGUUCUAUACAUUAUGAUUGUUUGACAUGCAAAUUUGUAAUCAUGCUCCAACUAGUAGCUUUAUGGUAAGUUUUGUGCUUGUCUGAAAAGAACCCUGUACUGCUGCUUGGAAGUUGCAACUAUUUUAAUAUUUUGAGGUAUAUGCUAAACCAGUUCAGCUUGUGCCAUGUAGUGAAGGCAAGAAAAUAGAACUUACUCAUCACAAGAAAAGUAUAAUAGCC